RNAcentral lists this long non-coding RNA (1247 nucleotides) under Mus spicilegus (steppe mouse). RNAcentral's name for it is "lncRNA (ENSMSIG00000027032.1)". The record is from RNAcentral. Lineage: Eukaryota; Metazoa; Chordata; Mammalia; Rodentia; Muridae.
UCCCGCCCCUGGGGAGCAGCCCCGCCUCCGCCCCGCGCUUCUGCGCAAGCCCCGCCCUCCCUGGGGAAACCGCUGCGUAAGCCCCGCCCUCCCGGGGGGAAAGCGCCGCGUACCCCUCGGCCAUGACUUCCGGAGCUGCCACCGCUGGCCCGGGGUGCCUGCGAGGCCAACUCAUGUGUGGCCGCCUGGCAUCCUGAGAGGCGAGCAGCGGCGCCCUGGCGCCUCAGCCUUCGUCUGCGGGGCGCCGCGGCCUCAACCUCGUCACCUCAGCUCCACACGGGUCCCACGCCUUCUGGAUGGAGCUGGAUGGAGGGAGGAGUGGUUGGGGUGGGAUGCUGAGGCUCCCUGAGGGGACCGACGGUCGCCUAGACAAAGCCCGAUCUGGAUCACCACCACCCACCCACCCCAGGAAAAUAAAUAAUAUUCAUUUUUCCCCCAUCCAGAAAUAUGCCUCACGGAAUUUACCCCUGAGGCAGCAAUUGUAAGGAGUUUGACCUCACUCACCCAGAGGUGAUAAAUGGCCACACCGACCAUGACAUUCUUUGGCUGUAAAGGGGUGUGUCAUGUGUGCGUGGUUCUCCUCAAGAAAACAAAUUUAGCCGUUUUAGCCACGGGUUGGUUCAGUCGGGUGAGUGUUGCCUAAUGUGGAGGCGAAUAGAGGGGUGUUAGCUCUCCACUUGUCCUCAGAGAGGUUUUUACUGGAAACCGGAUGCAGACAUCUACAUGAGACCACGUUGUGCCAAAGAUUUCAGCCAAAACAGUGGGAGUUUCUGUGAGUAAUCUCAGAACCAAGCCCAUAGAUGCCCCCUCAACCCGCUUGAGAACCAGAAUUGCAGCAAAAUGGACUCCAGAGGGGCCACGGAAAUGCCAGUGAAGCAUGACAAAAAGAAAAAUCAGCCAUUCCUCAUUUUUUAGAGAGGAGACAGAAACGAAGAGUGGGUCUGAGAAACAGAAGAGUGUGGGUAACAAGCAGUCCAUCCGAGCUUAUGUGACAGAUGAGUGUGGGGAAUCCAAUGUAUCGUGUAGGAUACGAGGCAGUGUGGACCCAAAGAUAAAUGGAACAGCAGUCUUUUCAGUAUGGGGGCAGCAUCGAAGAAAGAGACCCAAGAGGGAAGAUGCUCUGCGUGAAAGAAUCAGAAACAAAUAAACAACAAAUACAAGCAGGCCUGACAGCAUCUGUACCAACCCUCCAACUGUGAGGACUUAAGGAACAUUGUAGAAUAGCGGAGAGAAAGACUGAGAGCCAG